Molecule: ribosomal RNA, 253 nt
Filed under: uncultured bacterium
Lineage: Bacteria
Description: partial 16S ribosomal RNA
Rfam family: Bacterial small subunit ribosomal RNA
Source: RNAcentral
UACGAAGGGUGCAAGCGUUACUCGGAAUUACUGGGCGUAAAGCGUGCUUAGGUGGUGAGUUAAGUCAGAUGUGAAAUCCCGGGGCUCAACCCCGGAACUGCAUCCAAUACUGCCGUGCUAGAGGAUUGGAGAGGUAGCUGGAAUUCUUGGUGUAGCAGUGAAAUGCGUAGAGAUCAAGAGGAACACUCGUGGCGAAAGCGAGCUACUGGACAAUAUCUGACGCUGAGGCUCGAAGGCCAGGGUAGCGAAAGGG